Molecule: long non-coding RNA, 135 nt
Organism: Corvus hawaiiensis (hawaiian crow)
Lineage: Eukaryota; Metazoa; Chordata; Aves; Passeriformes; Corvidae
Exons: 2
Source: RefSeq, a predicted model, not a curated record
ACCUUUGAAUUCUCUGUGGGAGCCUUUGGCAGCCUCCUUCAGGACUCAGAGGAAGAAAGGCAAAACAGCUGUUCCCAAGAAACUGGAGAUAGCUGAGGAGCUGGUAUGAACGUUACAAGUAAAUGAAGAUAUGAA